RNAcentral lists this ribosomal RNA (474 nucleotides) under uncultured bacterium. Its description in RNAcentral is "bacterial SSU rRNA". It matches the Rfam family "Bacterial small subunit ribosomal RNA", at positions 28 to 507 of the family's 1533-position model. The record is from RNAcentral.
GAUAAACGCUGGCGGCGCACAUAAGACAUGCAAGUCGAACGGACUUUAACCCAUUCUUCACGAUUGGGAGCGGUUAGUGGCGGACUGGUGAGUAACGCGUGAGCAACCUGCCUAUUAGAGGGGAAUAACAAUGAGAAAUCAUUGCUAAUACCGCAUGAUAUGUAGAAAGGGCAUCCUUUUUACAUCAAAGAUUUUAUCGCUGAAAGAUGGCCUCGCGUCUGAUUAGAUAGUUGGUGGGGUAACGGCCUACCAAGUCGACGAUCAGUAGCCGGACUGAGAGGUUGACCGGCCACAUUGGGACUGAGAUACGGCCCAGACUCCUACGGGAGGCAGCAGUGGGGAAUAUUGGGCAAUGGACGCAAGUCUGACCCAGCAACGCCGCGUGAAGGAAGAAGGCUUUCGGGUUGUAAACUUCUUUUAGCAGGGACGAAGAACGUGACGGUACCUGCAGAAAAAGCAACGGCUAACUACGUG